ACAGAGCUGGGACCCCCUCAAACCGCUCCCUCACGGGGCUGGGUCUCCUCUCACAGUGCUGAGAUCCCCUCAAACUGUUCCCUCACGGGGCUGGGUCUCCUCUCACAGUGCUGAGACCCCCUCAAACUGUUCCCUCAUGGGGCUGGGACCCCCUCAAACUGUUCCCUCACGGUGCUGGGACCCUUCUCACAGGGCAGGGACCCCCUCACAGGGCUGAGACCCCCUCACAGGGCAGCCCCUCAUAGCUGUUCCUUCACAGGGCUGGGACCUCCUCACAGAACUGCCCCUCACAGCUAUUCCCUCACAGCGCAGCCCCUCACAGGGCGGGGAUCCCCUCACAUCGCUGCCCGUCACAGCGCUGCCCUCUCGGUGCCGCUCCCCUCUGACAGCUCUUCCCUCACAGCGCUGUCCCUCACAGGUGUCUCCCCAUCGCAGGCUCGAAAAGCCCGAGGCGGGAGCUAAAACUCCCGACCCGACGUCUCGUCUCACGUUUCGAUCAGGCUGAGAGGGAAAUGAAGGAGGUUGUUCUGAGCAAAAAGAUCCAUGUGUGACAGCUGUGGAAAAAAAGGCCAACAACAAGGAAUGUGCACACACAGUGCUGCAUAAGCUACUGUUAUACUGCUCACCAUGAACUUCUAGAUCAUUUUAUGUGGAAAGAAAAAUUCCAAAAAUAUUCAGCCUAUUAAGGACUCAGUGGCAGAGAACUCUGCUCUUUUCCAAGGAGGGUUUUGACCAUGGCUCCAUGCAUGGUUCCAGCCCUUUAUUGGGUAAAUGAACGUUUCUUCAACCAAGCCUGAAGAUCAUCAUCCUUCUCCAACUGAAUUGGAACAGUUUGGUCACACCAAUGCCUCAGCCUUUGCCAAUGUGUUGAACACGAGGAGCACUUCUAACUCCUCUCAGUUUGAAACCAAUCAAGCCAAACUGGAGAAGACACAGAGAAGGAUGAUUAAUGGUACAGAGUUUUUCCUCGUGUGCAAAACCCCUCAGCUUGGGAACGAAUGAUACAGAGAAUGAGAACAGAAGUCUAAGAGAAUAACACUGAGUGGCAGAAGCUGGUGAACAUGGUUGUUUCUUAAAAAAAAAACCAAACCAGCAACCCACAAAUUUACCUGGUUAUACUUUCUAUUUUCAAGCUGACAAUGGUCUAAUUAAAUGCAGUAAUAGUCAAAUCCUUGAGGCAAUAUUCCUUCUUCCUCCAGCUUUUCAAAUUAUACUCACGGUUCUGAGAGACAAACAGUGUUUAGUGUUCUAGGUUACUGUUAAGUCCAUUGUGUCAAAAUAUUAAAUGCCACAGCAACAAAAAGUACAAACUUGACCCAGAUCAGAAAAUAGAGAUGGUCAUUAGUAAACAUCAUGUCUUGUCAUUGACAACUGGUGGGACACGGAGGGGUGGAGGAACAUGGGACAGAGGAGAGAGGGAGCAGGAAAGGGU
Long non-coding RNA from Corapipo altera (White-ruffed manakin), 1432 nucleotides. RefSeq lists it as uncharacterized. The transcript is spliced from 3 exons. Lineage: Eukaryota; Metazoa; Chordata; Aves; Passeriformes; Pipridae. The record is from RefSeq and is a predicted model, not a curated record.